GACGAACGCUGGCGGCGUGCUUAACACAUGCAAGUCGAACGGAAAGGCCCUGCCUUUGUGGGGUGCUCGAGGGGCGAACGGGUGAGUAACCCGUGAGUAACCUGCCCUUGACCUAGGGAUAACCUAAGGAAACAGGGGCUAAUACCGGCUAGGAGCUACUGCCGCUUGGUGGGGGUUGGAAAGUUUCGGCGGUUGGGGAUGGAAAGGCCGCUCAUCAGCUCGUUGGUGGGGUAGUGGCUUACCAAGGUUUGGACGGGUAGCCGGCCUGGAAGGGUCACCGGCCACAUUAGGACGGAGAUGAGGCACAGACUCCUACGGGAGGCAGAGGAGGGGAAUAGUGCACUAUAGGCGGAAGCAUGAUGCAACAACGCCGCGUGCGGGAUGACGUGCAGCGGUUAGUAAUCCGCUUUCGCCUGUGACGAAACGUGAGUGACGGUAAUGGGUAAAGAAGCACCGGCUAACUACGUG
Molecule: ribosomal RNA, 468 nt
Filed under: uncultured bacterium
Lineage: Bacteria
Description: partial 16S ribosomal RNA
Rfam family: Bacterial small subunit ribosomal RNA
Source: RNAcentral